RNAcentral lists this long non-coding RNA (2757 nucleotides) under Homo sapiens (human). Its description in RNAcentral is "novel transcript". Lineage: Eukaryota; Metazoa; Chordata; Mammalia; Primates; Hominidae. The record is from RNAcentral.
GGGACUGGCAUUCAGUGAGGCUGGGGGAGAAGCUUCCUAAAAGCAUUGCCCUUGAAAAGCAGGGCAUACCUAUCUGAUACUGAGGAUGUAGAAUGCAGUUUGGAGAUGCUUCCUAGCUACCUAAUCUUCCAAGGCAAACCAUGCACUCUUCAUCCUGAUAUUUGUGAUGCCUCCCUGGGCUACAUGACAGAGGGUGCACUGCAAAGGAUGUGAAGGAAAGUCACCACAGGGCAAAGGUGGAAACCCAGGGGCCUUUCCCCAGUGAGACUUUCUGGCUGUUCCUUUGGAACUUCCACCUGCUAGUUGCAGAUGUUUGCCACUGGAUGGGGCCCCAUGCUACGUGGGAACUGUUCAGGACUGUGGGUACUUAGUUCCAGCAGAGCUGGCUCCACCAGGGCACCAGGACUGCAGGCUUCUCAACUCCUGGCCUGGAGAGGCAGCUUCAGCAACCAGUGCCUGGGAAUCCACUAGCCCUUUCUCUGUGAGUCACGUGAGGGCAGAAUCUGCUCAAAGUCAGAGGGCUGGAGCAACCUGGAUUGUGCCAGAGUGAGGGCCCAGCUCACUGGAGGUCAGAGUAAGAGAGUCAAGGAUGGGAAGAAACAGGGUUUUGCUCAGUCUUGCAGAUACUGAGGCACUCAGGAGGCUCAGGAUGGCAGCAACAGGGCAUGUGCUAAACUUACCCUAGCCUCUUCCUUUUAGGCAGCCACCACAGAGGACAUCUGUUUGCCUCUGUACCCUACCCCAUCUCCAUGCUGGUAGAUAUAGUCUGGGGAUACCUUUAAAACAAACAAACAAACAAACAAAACAGGAUCUGUCUAUCACCUGUCCAAAUCCUGAAGCAAAAUGAGCCUUCUUUAUGGCCACCUUGGAAAGGCCUGAGUCCCCAGCAUCACCUGGGAUACAAAGUGUUCUGAGGUGGGGGCAGAGUGCCCUCCUGCCCAGAUGCCACACUCCACAAUAUCUCUUCCUGGCAGACAGGUUUCUCUUAACUUCCUUUGGCAAAUUUGGUUUCACUUCCUUUUGCAACUUUAGAACCUUUCUCAGGUCAGUCAUAAGGUAGUGGAGAAGCCAGGAUUUGAACCCAUUCUGUCUGAUUCCAGAGCUCAUGCAUUAACCACCUGACUGUGGUGCCUCCCCAUCAUAUGUGCAUCAAGUAUGAUCAUUUUUGUAGUUCUCAGAGUACUUAGCACCAUGCACAUCUGUAAUAAGUACAGCCACUGCCUACUGGGAGGUCUAAAGGUUCAACUCAUAAGGGACCCACAGGCCACACUGGGCUCCAGUCUCCUUAAAAGAUGUGGGACGGAGAUCAACAAUUGUCAGCAGAACCCCAUCAGGCAUUUGUCUUCUCACUGAGCCUUGCAGCAAACCACACAGCUGUCUAUAACCUAUCUGUUCCCAGAUUCAAGAACACAAGCUGCUCAUCAGUUGGGUGCAGGAUCCACUCUAGUACAAAAGCUGUGUGUCUCAAGGCAUAAUUCCUUAUGAUUACUUCAUAGCUCUGCUUUUGUCUUGAGACAAAAGAAAUUUCCUUCAAUUCCUACUUUUGCUGAGAUAUUGUUUUUUGAAAAGCAAUUAAAUCUUGUCAAUCACUUUUCCCACCUCUUUGAGAUACUUACAUGGCUUUUCUUCUUUAUUCUCUUAGUGUGGUAAAUUACAUUGAUUUAUUUUAAAUAUGAAACCAGCCUUGAAUUCCAGGAACAAACUCCAUUUGGACAUGCUAGAACAACCUUUUAUAUUUGUUUAGAUUUGAUUUCCUGAAGUGGUGUUAAAAGGUUUUCAUAUCUAUGUCUGUGAGGGAUAUUAAUCUGUACAUUUUUUUAUUACUAUUUUCUGGUGUUAUGGUAAUGCUAGUCUCAUAGAAUGAAUUAGGAAAAGUUGCCUCCUUCUGUAUUUUCUGAGAGUUUGUGUGGCACUGGUAAAAUAUUUUCUGUAUAUGUUUGACAUAAUUCACCAGGAAAAUUAUUUGUACCUACAAGUUCCCUCCUGGAAAGAUGUUGAUAAUCACUUAUUAUCCUUUCAUUGUCUGCCAGAUCUGUGGCAUUGCUUUUUUCUCUGGUAUUAGUAAUUUAAAUUUUCCCUUAUUUCUUGAUCAAUUUUGGCAGAGAUUUAUCAAUUUUAUUAAUCUCUUUUAAAAAUCUGUAUUGAGCUUUGUUAAUUUUCUCUAUUACAUACUUUUUAUUUCUACUCUUACGAUUGCUAUUUCUUUAUUUCUCCUUUGGAUUUAGCCCAUUUUUCUAUUUGUCUAAUUUUAGGAUUUAAAAUUCAAUCAUUAUUUUUAGAUAUUUUUAUUUUUAAAUAUAAACAUGAAAGUUGCAAUAUUACCUUGGGCACUGUUUUGACUGCAUUCCACAAGUUUUUAUUUGUCAUGUUUUAAUCACCAUUCAGUUCAAAAUACUUUCUAAUGCUCCUUGUUAUUUCUUCUUUGACCCAUUGGUUAUAUAAAAGUACGUUUUGCUUUAUUUCUAAAUAUGUGAAGACUUUCUAGAUAUCUCAGUUAUUUAUUACUAAUUUAAUUUUAUUGUAGCCAGAGAAAAUACACUGUAUGUGUUCAAUCUUUGGAAAUUUCUUGAGACUUAUUUUUUGACCCAGUAUGUUUGCCCUCAUGAACAUUCCAUAUUCACUAGAAAAAGAAUGUGUGUUCAAAUAAUGUUGGAUAUAGUGUUAUGCAAAUGCCACUAAAUCAAGAUAAAUCUUUUGCACUCUUGUUUUUUGCCUGCUUGUUCUAACAAUAAGUGAGAAAGAAGUGUUAAUAUCUCC